RNAcentral lists this ribosomal RNA (2016 nucleotides) under Triticum aestivum (bread wheat). Its description in RNAcentral is "partial small subunit ribosomal RNA". The record is from RNAcentral. Lineage: Eukaryota; Viridiplantae; Streptophyta; Magnoliopsida; Poales; Poaceae.
AUGUUUUGUUCUGUUCCCCCUGGUGCUGAUGCUAUCACGGGGGAUCUGGCGCGAUCUCCCUCGGGAUCGACGUGCCCGACGGCGACAGACCUGCCCGAAUCACCCACGGGAUCAUCCCCGUGCCAGGAGGAUCGCGCUGCAUCGGCCGCCCAACCCGCCUCUCCCACGCGGCCCCGCACUGCAGUGGCUGACCCCGCGGGCUCGGUGCACCAAUCUCCGGUCGCGGACCGGUCGCUCGUGCGCUACGCGCCCACCCCGCGGGUCUACACUCGGCGGGCCCCGCCAUCCACUUCCGACGUGCCAGGCGGGCCUGACGCGCGUGUCGAGGCGGCCUCGGAUGGCUCCUUUGGAUCCUCUGCGCCGGGUUCCCCUCUUUUGCCAUCUGCGUCAGCCACAGAAGAUCUGCAUGCGCCAGCCUCCUCCGGAUCCGCUGGAUCUACUGGCCCCUGCGCAGCCGCUCCUGUUGGAUCUUCCGUGGCUGCAUCUGUGCCUCCUACACCGCAUCGCACUCGCGUUCAAACAGGGACACUUGUUGCUGUCAAUUAUAAAACUAAGUAUGGCUUGGUUGUUUCAGAAACUACUCCAGGAGAACCACGUACUGUCUCUCAAGCCCUUGCAGAUCCUCGGUGGAAACAAGCUAUGCUUGAAGAAAUUGGAGCUCUUCACAAAAAUCGCACCUGGCACCUCGUUCCCUCACGACCCGGUACAAAUGUGAUUGACUGUAAGUGGGUGUUUCGCAUCAAGCGACGGUCUGAUGGUACUAUUGACCGCUACAAGGCCAGACUUGUUGCCAAAGGAUUCAAGCAGAGGUAUGGACUUGACUAUGAGGACACCUUUAGUCCCGUUGUUAAAGCUGCAACUAUUCGCCUUGUGUUGUCCAUUGUUGUGUCUCAUGGAUGGUGUCUCCGUCAGCUAGAUGUGCAGAAUGCGUUUCUGCAUGGCGUUCUGGAAGAGGAAGUAUAUAUGAAGCAGCCUCCUGGGUUUACAGAUCCUCAUCAACCAUUCCAUGUUUGCAGGCUCGAUAAGUCUCUCUAUGGACUCAAACAGGCUCCACGAGCAUGGUACUCCCGUUUGAGUUCAAAACUACAAACUCUUGGCUUUGUUCCCUCCAAGUCUGAUACUUCCCUGUUCAUUUAUCGUCGGUUACACACAAUUAUCUUUGUGCUCAUUUAUGUUGACGACAUUAUUGUUACUAGUUCAUCUGAUGAGGCAGUCACAGCCCUUUUGAAGGAUUUGAAGUCAGACUUUGCUCUAAAAGAUCUUGGUGACUUGCACUUCUUUCUUGGUAUUGAGGUAGCAAGAAACAGGGAAGGUGGCCUUCAUCUUUGUCAAGCAAAAUAUGCAGCUGAUCUUUUGAGCAAGGCACGCUUACAAGGCUGCAAACCAUCAACAACACCACUCUCCAGCUCAGAAAAAUUAUCUCUUGCAGAGGGCGUACCUCUGAGUCAAGAGGAUGGCACCAAAUACCGGAGUUUGGUGGGAGCACUUCAGUACUUGACACUCACCAGACCUGAUAUUUCCUUUGCAGGCAAUAAAGUGUGUCAGUUCCUUCAUGCACCCACUUCUUCUCAUUGGACUGCUGCUAAACACAUACUGCGAUAUGUGAAGCACACACUGAAUGUUGGGUUAACCUUCACCAAGUCAACCUCUACACUUGUUAGUGCCUUUUCUGAUUCUGAUUGGGCAGGUUGCUUGGAUGACAGGAGGUCCACAGGUGGUUUCGCAAAUUUAUUUGGACCCAAUCUAAUCUCUUGGUGUGUAAAGAAACAUGCAACAGUGUCUAGAUCAAGUACUGAGGCAGAAUACAAGGCACUAGCUAAUGCAACAACAGAAAUCAUAUGGGUUAAAUCUUUGCUUAAAGAACUUGGGAUAUAUCAUACACAAACUCCAUGUCUCUGGUGUGACAACAUUGGUGCCACAUAUCUCUCUGCUAACCCUGUUUUCCAUGCAAGGACUAAACACAUUGAGAUAGAUUAUCAAUUCGUCAGAGAGAGAGAGUUGCUAGCAAAGAACUGA